Mesocricetus auratus (golden hamster) is the source of this 279-nucleotide unclassified non-coding RNA. Its record names the gene 7SK. It matches the Rfam family "7SK RNA". From Rfam's summary of the family: 7SK was discovered as an abundant small nuclear RNA in the mid-70s but a possible function has only recently been suggested. Two independent studies have found that 7SK RNA binds the CDK9/cyclin T complex (known as elongation factor P-TEFb). The record is from Ensembl. Lineage: Eukaryota; Metazoa; Chordata; Mammalia; Rodentia; Cricetidae.
UGAUGUGAUGAGGGUCUUUCCCACCAUGUCCCUUGAUGCCUCAUUAAUCAACAGUGUUGAUUCAGCACCUGGCUGGCUAAGCAGGAGUCUCGUGCUUCUUUAACCACUCUACAUGUGCCUGAUCUGUGGAAGAGGACCAUUUUUAGCCAACGAAAUACUAGCAGCUGUGCUCCCUGCUAGAACCCCCAAACAAACUCUCAAGGAUAAAGGAAUAUGCUUGAGGAUCUCAUGUCAGAGACCAUAGGAAUCAUCAUUAUGGCCACCCCAUAGGUGGUGGGU